CCCUGCAGUUUCAGGCUGAGCUGGAACCUGCAGCAGUCUUUCGACGGACUUCUGUAGCCUCGUUCGGUAUUUUACGUUGAAGGCUAAAAGCACCAUCUUCUCAAGCAAUGCCAGAAUGUAUGCAGAGCAGCACACAGAACCGCAGUUUGUGUGGAGAACACGAACGAAGGAAAGAGAAAAAGAUACCAGACUGGCAGCGAUCCCAAGCUGCUCACACGCUGAUGUUCAAGACAGCACAUGUGUGUGCCACAUGAGCAGGUGAAACUGUGAUCCUACAUGUGCGGAAGGGAGAAUAGUAAUUAAACAAUCAGAUGUGCUAAGUGCAUCAUGCUGGGACACCACUACGCUUCAGAUGGGCUACGAGGGUUGAAACCUGAGGCAAUAACUCAGGAAGCAGCCAAGUUACAGCUAUGAUCAUAAGGAUUUCCAUGAGGUCCCUGAAGUGAAACGAUGCCUUAGUGUCCCAACACACUUCCCAGCAGAAGUCAGACACUUCACCGCCUAAGGCACCCUUCAGCUUCGAAGACGCUAAGAUUUCACUCUGGAUUCGUUCCACAGCUCCUCUCCUGCCUUAACGGGCUGCAGCCCUCCCCACUGAGACUCCCCACCGCUGCCUGCUCUCCAGGACGGUGACUUCCCCUCGCAAUGAGACCGCCUGGACCUGUCCCAGCGGGCUGAGCACUCUGCCCUCUGCCGGGCCGGAGCUGCGGUACCACAAACCAUGCACCGCUGGUUGGCAGCGAUGGAGGGGCACAGGGAGCCCCCCGGCAAGAAGAUUUCCUUCUGAUUUUAAUUGUGACUGCCAAAAGGGUAGUGAAAGGGGUUGCAAUAAAGCCUGAGGAGUUAAAAUCUGUGCUUGCUUUAACAGCUGUCAAAAACUUUCAUUCCAGAGCAGCAUGGAUUUCUGCAUCCUGUUUUGUCCUUCCCUCUCCAUUUGGACUGAUAGUAUUUGCCCAGAAAUUUUUUAUAUUUUAUUUUUAACUAGAAUGUGAUCAUUAUGUUAAAAAUAAUUAUUAUCAUUAUUUCUUUUGAUGUAGAGGCCAUAGUGUCUGGAGAACACGGGUUUAGGCUUUGCACUGUCACUGAACUAUUAACCUAAACUGCACGGACACGCAAUGCCAAAUACCCAUGCAUUUGUUCAGCUGGUCAUGGCCCUUUUUAAAGCAAAACACGGGGAUUUUCUCAAGAAGAGAUACAGCAGAGGGUCACAGAGGGCACCUACCCUUCUGCUCCAACCCUGACCUGAGGAGCACCAUUGGGGCCCUGUUGUUUCUCCUGUCCAAAAUUACACACUCAGAGGGUGUUGAGCACCACAGCCCUGAUCUCUUGCGCCGUCUCUGAGAACUGCUGUCAUGUGAGCAAUAAGUGCCCAUCAGUGAAUAUUUCACUCCACUUUCUCCUGCUGAAUGCAAGGCAGCUUGGAGUUUUGCCUCUUGUGAUAGAAGCCUUGUGUACCAUGAACCCAAGCUGUACACAGAUUACCUGCCUUUACUUAACCGUGUGUAGAAUUGCCUACCAGGAAUCCCAGUAUAUUUUAUAUGUCAUUAAUGAAGUUAACAUUUCUAUUAAAUACUGCUCCUUUCUGGGAUUCCUACUCAACCUUGAGGAUAAUAAUCAAGAAAAAACAAAACAAAACAAAAAAACCUUUCUGUCACAUUAUUAAAUGUUUGAUUGCAACAGCAUAGAAGACUUGGGUAGUACAAUGCCACAUUGGCAUCUUUCCAGUAUAGGAAAUUUUUUCCAUACCUUUUUUUUUUCCCCCAAGUCAAUAUAUAGCAAAACAGUUGCUUUCUUUAAUAUCACAGAUUUAUCCAGAGUUUACAAUGCAAUCAUUGCUCCUUGCUAUUGGAAAUGAUUUAUUUAGCCAGUUUUGGCCUUCAUUCCAAAAGGCUGAAUGCCAAAUCAUUACAGUGUAUCUGGUGUUCUGUUGUCAGAAAAUAUGAUCUAGCAUUAAGAUACUACUCAGAGACUCUGAAAGCCAGAGAAAAUAAUUGUGGUAAAUCAAAACCUCAUAAAUACUUUAUAAAGUUGUUUUUAAUGUCUGUCCUUAUGUGUGACAAAAAAGUACCAGUUUACAUGCAAUGAGAAUACGUGAGUUUGGAGGCUUCAUUUCCUAUACUGUCUAAGUUUUAAAACCUUGUUAUAGUCAAUCCCAUAUAGAUGCAGAAGUCAGGCAGUUGUUGUCACAUUAUAUUUUCUGGUACUACUGCAUUUUAAUAAGCCAAAAGACAGUAAACUACUUUUCUAGAUUUAACUCCAAAUGAUGUAUUUUCUUUUAUCUUUUUUCUUUUUUCCUCUUUUUUUUUUUUAAAGAGAGUACCAAGAGUAUAAGAACUGUAUACAUGGCUCUGAAGUUGAGGCCACAACCAUGCAAGCAUAUACACACAGUAAAUGCUCAAGGCAGUUAAAGAAAAGCACAUGCCAAAGACUUAGGAGCAGCUGGCCCCAAAUUCUGGCCUCAACACACCAUGUGAAAUUGAACAUGUGUGGACUAGGUUUGACUCCCUUCAGAUGCCUCUGGAACACAAUAAUAUCUCACUGGGUAAGAAAUCUGUUCUGUCUUCCAAACUACUUAUGCCAAUAACUUAAUAUUUCUCCACCAAAAAAUCCAUAACGAUUUUCCUGUGCAGCACAUCACUGUGAUGGAUCACGGUGAUUGCCGGAAGCUUGGAAAUGGUAGCAUAUCGGGGAUGGAUAUUAAACUGACUCUGUCUAGAGGCAUGGGAAUCAUGAGGGAGCAACAGGCAGGAUAAUAAACUCAAGCAGAGAUCAUGUCCAGAUCUUGCUCUGUAAAUAUUCCACUUAUUUUUGGAGAACCAGAAAUCUAUCGUUUACCUUUUAUGGUUAUAAAAUUGCAUUACCCACAAGUGAAGUGGGGGCCAGAGAAGUUGCUACCUCACAUCGUAUUGAAUACAAAUUCAGAAGCAACUAGCCAAUGCAAUAUGGAGAGGUGCUUUCUGCAAAAAGGAAACCACAGAGUCCAGGAGGGAACAUUGUGUUGAAAAAGGGGGCUGGGCUUGGAGGUAGAGCUCAGCCUGAUCUCACUCAGUUGACACUAACAGUUUAAACCAUGGCUUCAUUCCAAAGGAGGACCGAAUUUGUUUGAUCACACUCAUGCAUCACUCUGAAAGAAACAGAAGGCAAUGAAAACACGGAAAUCUCUGAUGUACUUGAUAAGCUAUAGAAGCAAUAGCAAUUUCACCCAGCUUUGUUUUUUUGCUUGGUUGCAUUAUUGCUUUUUUGUUAGCAAGGAAAGAGUCUGAUCUACAUAUUCCAGGGUGACCAAUAACUUUGUGGUCCUGGCUCAGAAGAAACAAGAAUCUAUUUCAUAGAUUGUAAGCAACUUUUAUAAGUGUUUCAUGCUGAACAGACACAUUCAGAAUCUUUAAACAAUUUUGAAAAUUCUGACCAUCAUGUGGACUUCUUUCUAGCAAGAGUAGUAAUGGCAUCUCACCAAGAAACCCAAAGUGAGGAAGAAGGAAUCUGGGGACAACCGUAAAACAACAGUAUUUCUCCUUACACCCUGCUUUUAAUCUGCUUUUAAUCUGUCCUGAUUUCCUUGUACAUCAAUAUUUUUUUUUGAAUAAGCAAGCCCCUCUACUGACUCUGCAAUGACAGUCUCACUUCAAAAAAAUUGAAAUCACUAGUCUUAAUGAAUGUUGAAUCAAAACCCAACAUUCCAGAAAAAUGCUUGGCUUUGAUCCACAUAUAUCUUAGGAUAACAGACCUGCAGAGUACAUUCCACUUUAGAAGACUGUAAAUAUGACUUACUCUUAGCUUAUUAGGAUUGUGGAAUAAGAACUUUUCAGUUGAAGACAGCUUUCAAUGGUCUUUCAAUACCCUCAAAGUUUGAUGAUAAGUAUGAAAUGAAACACUAGCAGUGUAAAAGGGAAAACAUGCACUAUACAAGAAACAAAGUUUUCUUCACUUACAUUCAACUUCUAAGAUAUAUAAUUAAAGCUUUUACCAACCAAAAAUACUUUUCACUGAAAUAUCCUAAUAAUCUCUUUCUCUAGGCGAUUCCACAGUGUAUUUACUUUAUGUCUCUGUUUCAUUGAUGUUAUUCUUAAGAUAAGAAGAAGUCAUCAUCCAUAUUCUUCCAUAGAAGUAUCAUAGAAUGGCUUGGGUUGGAAGGGACCCCAAGGAUCAUCCAGUUCCAAACCCCUCCACAAGUAGGGCAGCCGACCUCCAGAUCUCGUACUAGACCAGGUUGCCCAGGGCCCCACACAACCUGGUCUUGAACACAUCCAAAGACAGUGCACCCACAGCUGCUCUGGGCAGCCAGUUCCAGCACCUCACCACUCUCUCUGUGAAGAACUUCCCCCUAACAUUCAAUCUAAACCUUCCCUCCUUGAGCUUAAAACCAUUCCACCUUGUCCUAUCAACAGAAUUACAGGCAUCAGCUAGAGCUGGCAGACACAAUUCACACAUGUAGGCAUGAUUUUUAAAGUUCUACCUCAACAGGUAUUCUAUUGUGUUUAAAACAACAGCCCCAUUCAGUUUAGCUACAAUUUUAGCGGUUGAGUAUUCUGCAAAUUCAUUUGCCACAGACUCUGCCAUCAGACACCCAAAACAAACAAUACACAGUUACUGACUGUUUCUCAGAAGGCGGUUUUAAUAGCCUUCUAUUACCAACCCCAGGAAGCAGAAGUAGGAAGAUAAUAUCAGGCAUCAUGAAGAUGCUAUACAUGCAAGACUAUUUUUCCAUCUUCUGCAGUCCCUCAGUACAGCUUCCAGUUUCUGCAACAAGUGAGAACUGUUGCUUUGCUAUAGUACGCAAAUCCAAUCUUCUAACAAGUUCUGUCUGAAUACUAUUUUUUUUUCCCUGCUAAAAUAGGAGAUAAACAUGCAAGCCAAACAUUUCGUAAUUAAAGCUGCCUGAAGGGUUCAGGUUAUCUCCACGUGUUCCAUAGAAAAUUCUGCAAUUAAGAAAAUGCCUCAAAAAUCUGUAUUAAAAAAAGUAAGCUUUCCGAAGCUAAUCUGUUUUAAUGAUUCCAACUGUCUGUAGUUUUUAAUGUUACAUUUUUUUCAAAAUAAAAAAAAAACCACCCACAAAGUGACAAGAAUAUUAAACAUUUAAUUCUGAAAACAAGAUAACAAAGCCAUGCAGAAGUAUCAAAGGACAUUCUCUCCUCCCCUAUUACCUAAGGAAAUCUUUGAAAUGGGCAGAUGUUAACAUAAAUUAUCCUCAGCCAAAUUAUGAUAUAACCAAAAUUUUGAAAACUUUAAAAGCAUUGUAGUAUUCUCUUAAGUUGCUCAUCUAUAUGUGAUUUUCUGCUUCUCUUAAAAAUGCAAGCCAUAAAAUCAGAAGCAAAAUGAAAUUCUGUCAGAUGGUAUUAGAUUAUCAUCCAUUUAGUUGGCAACAUUGAGAUCUUUUGCAGACUAGAUACUGAGAGUUAAUGGAGGAGCUAACAGCCAAAGUACUAUUUAUGUUUGGGUUUCAUUUCCUGUCGCAGAAGAAAUUGUGAUAACCAGGAACUCAAGACUCAUAGAAAGUUUUUUACAUUACUAUAUUCUAUAGCUAUUCCAUACUUUGUCAUGAUUUCUGCUUGCAUCUUCAUUCUUGCUUGUGAUUUUCCUUAAAGAUCUAUGUGAAUUAAGAACUGUUUUGUGUUUACGAAGUACAUCAAGGCCAAGUGGAAGGUCCUGCACCUGGCAGGCAUAAGUGCAGGCUAGGUAGAAAAUGAAUUGAGAGCAUCCCUGGGGAGAAGGACUUAGUGUGUUUGUUGAUGGGAAGAUCAACAUGAGCCAGCAAUGUGCUCUUGCACCCAGAAAAUCAACAGUAUCCUGGACUGCAACAAAAGAAGUAUAGCUAGUCGGUCAAGGGAAGGGAUUCUCCUCCUUUACUUUGCCUUUGCUUCUCAUUUUUAUUGCUCAGCAUUGUGCUGCAUGGUAGGAAAUAUCCUUUUGACCAGUUUGAGUCAGCUGUCUUGGUUCUGUCCCUUACCAGCUUCUUCUGCACUCCCAGUUUCCUUACUGGUGGGGCAGUAUGAGAAGCCAAAAAUCCCUGACUUAGUGCAAGCACUACUAAGUAACAACAUCAGUGUGCUAUUAACAUUAUUUUCACGCUAAAUCAAAAAAAUGGCGCCAUUACCACUCACAUUCCCAGUUUCUUUUGCAACCAUGUGUUUUUGAGCUCUGAAUUCUUUUUUACAAAAGUUUUGAGGAAAUACUUAUGACAACAACAUUUUUUUCGUUGUUAACUAUCAGCAAAUAUUUCAUGGGGAGAAGGGAUAGUUAGGCAUGUAAAGAAAAAAGAAUGUUCAAAACAAGAAAAGAAAUUUUCAGUGAAUUUUGUUUUCUGAUUUCAGCUGACAAUAUGUGAAACUUUAGUACUUUUAUGCAAGAUGACUGGAUUACUAAUAGGAUGCUUUAAAUACUUUCUCUUGGUAAGGUUCUUAAUUUUUAAUCUCAGGGAAAGAAAAACACAGCAAUAUUCUUCCAAAUACAAUGCUCUCAAUCCAGAAGAAAAAUGAGUACUAGCACAGUAGGUGGUCGCCUUCCUGCUGAAUCACUAUCAAUGCCUGCACCAUCUGGAUUUUCCUUGGAGACCUCCUAUCCAAGAACUGACAAGACCAAAUCUUAUUUAUGUGACGAGAUCAUAUGUAUGCAAGCAAAUCUAGUAUCAUUUGUUAAGUUUACAAAUACUGUAUGAAACAACUAGUGUGUAAGUAGGCUUUAUGAAAUUCUAUGUCAGUGAAAUUUUGUGUAUUAUUCAGUUUACAUACACUUGUAAGAAAAAUGUACCCAGUAAAUAAAAUAAGAUUUCAUUUUUGUUGGAAAAAAAAUAUAAAAAGUUAUUUUAGUAAAAAUGAAUAAUUAAUGUAAUUAUUGCCUGUGCCCAUUUUUUUCAUCAUGCAGAACAUCCAAAAGCGGUAGGUCAAGAGGUAGCAUAGCAGCCUACAAAAACUGAAUUAAACAGAGCUUAUACAAUGAAAUUAAAUAUUUUGUGCCCAAAAGCUUUGAUUUAUUAGGUAAUUUAACUUUUUAACUGCAGCUUAAUUUCAUUCUGUGUAGAA
Long non-coding RNA from Lagopus muta (rock ptarmigan), 7019 nucleotides. RefSeq lists it as uncharacterized. The record is from RefSeq and is a predicted model, not a curated record. NCBI's taxonomy places the organism in Eukaryota, Metazoa, Chordata, Aves, Galliformes, Phasianidae. The transcript has 3 exons.